RNAcentral lists this ribosomal RNA (254 nucleotides) under uncultured bacterium. Its description in RNAcentral is "partial 16S ribosomal RNA". It matches the Rfam family "Bacterial small subunit ribosomal RNA", at positions 524 to 776 of the family's 1533-position model. The record is from RNAcentral.
UACGUAGGGUGCAAGCGUUGUCCGGAAUUAUUGGGCGUAAAGGGCGUGUAGGCGGCCAUGCAGGUCAGCUGUGAAAACUCGAUGGCUCAACCUCGAGAUGUCGGUUGAAACCGUAUGGCUAGAGUCCGGAAGAGGAGAGUGGAAUUCCCGGUGUAGCGGUGAAAUGCGCAGAUAUCGGGAAGAACACCCGUGGCGAAGGCGGCUCUCUGGGACGGUACUGACGCUGAGACGCGAAAGCGUGGGGAGCGAACAGG